Non-coding RNA from Elgaria multicarinata webbii, 477 nucleotides. The record is from the annotation of a RefSeq genome assembly. NCBI's taxonomy places the organism in Eukaryota, Metazoa, Chordata, Lepidosauria, Squamata, Anguidae.
AUGACCUUCUUUAAAGACACGUUACAGCAAGAGGAUACAGAACUCCCGCUCCGUAAUUCAAAUCAGCUCUUUUUUGAGUUGCGAGACAUUCUUCUCAAUUUUGAAAUAAUGGAACUGAGACUCUUGAUUGGUUUCUUGAUGACCUUCCCUGCAUGUGUUUCUUCACAGAAUCUAGUAGAAACUGGUGGUGGACUGAAAAGGCCUGGAGAGAACCUGCAACUGACCUGUACAGUGUCCGGAUUUUCUCUAACAAGUUGGGCUGUGACCUGGACCCGUCAGACCCUGGGGAAAGGACUGGAGUGGGUUGCAGAGAUCUGGAGCAACGGAAGCCCUUACUAUAACAGUGCUCUCCGAAAUCGUAUGAGUAUCUCAAGAGACACUUCAAAUGGCCAGGUGUUCCUGCAGCUGAAUGCACUGACGCCUGAAGACACUGCCAUGUAUUACUGUGCGAGAGGCACACUGAAGAAACCCUUCUGA